UACGUAGGGUGCGAGCGUUGGCCGGAAUUAUUGGGCGUAAAGGGCUCGUAGGCGGCUUGUCGCGUCGGGUGUGAAAACUCAGGGCUUAACCCUGAGCCUGCUUCCGAUACGGGCAGACUAGAGGUAUGCAGGGGAGAACGGAAUUCCUGGUGUAGCGGUGAAAUGCGCAGAUAUCAGGAGGAACACCGGUGGCGAAGGCGGUUCUCUGGGCAUUACCUGACGCUGAGGAGCGAAAGUGUGGGGAGCGAACAGG
Molecule: ribosomal RNA, 253 nt
Filed under: uncultured bacterium
Lineage: Bacteria
Description: partial 16S ribosomal RNA
Rfam family: Bacterial small subunit ribosomal RNA
Source: RNAcentral